This 66-nucleotide transfer RNA is filed under the name Boccardiella hamata. RNAcentral describes it as "tRNA-Val". The record is from RNAcentral. Lineage: Eukaryota; Metazoa; Annelida; Polychaeta; Spionida; Spionidae.
GAGGGUCUAGCAUAAAUAAUGCACUUUGCUUACACCAAAAUGAUAAAAUUAAUUUUUUGACCCUUA